RNAcentral lists this ribosomal RNA (526 nucleotides) under Austruca iranica. RNAcentral's name for it is "partial 16S ribosomal RNA". It matches the Rfam family "Bacterial large subunit ribosomal RNA", at positions 1829 to 2597 of the family's 2925-position model. The record is from RNAcentral. Lineage: Eukaryota; Metazoa; Arthropoda; Malacostraca; Decapoda; Ocypodidae.
GUCUGUUUGGAGAUAUAGAAAGUCUGGCCUGCCCACUGAUAAAUUUAAAGGGCCGCGGUAAUUUGACCGUGCAAAGGUAGCAUAAUCGUUAGUUUUUUAAUUGGAAUCUUGUAUGAAUGGUUGAACAAAAGAAUAACUGUCUCUGUUUUUAUAUUUGAAUUUAACUUUUAAGUGAAAAGGCUUAAAUACUUUAAAAAGACGAUAAGACCCUAUAAAGCUUGAUAAAUUUUAUUAUUAAGUUGAAUUCAAUUUCCUAUAAUAUAAUAAUUUAGUAAAAAGAGUUUAUUUUGUUGGGGCGACAAUGAUAAAAUGUUUGCUAACUGUUUAAAACAAAGACAAAAAUUACUGGUUAUCGAUGUAAAUGAUCCUCUAUAGGGAUUAAAAGUUUAAGUUACUUUAGGGAUAACAGCGUUAUUUUUCUUGAGAGUCCAUAUCGAAAGAAAAGUUUGCGACCUCGAUGUUGAAUUAAAAUUUCUAUAUAAUUGCAGAAGUUAUAGUAGAAGGUCUGUUCGACCUUUAAAUUUUU